Vollenhovia emeryi is the source of this 5300-nucleotide long non-coding RNA. RefSeq lists it as uncharacterized. Lineage: Eukaryota; Metazoa; Arthropoda; Insecta; Hymenoptera; Formicidae. The record is from RefSeq and is a predicted model, not a curated record. The transcript is spliced from 2 exons.
AAGAAAGUACUAUAAUAAUAGAAGUAGAUAUAAUAAAAAACACACGAGAUGAUAAGAAGAAAAGAUAAGCUGGCUGUGGAGUGGAAAAAAUGUCACAUCUUACAAUGUUAUUUAUCAUCGAACCAAGUCCAAAUUAUGUACGGGUGUGCUAGUGUGAGUGAGACAUGAGUGUGGACAGUGUGCGAAACGCGAGCAACUCCUAGACGCAACAAUAUCGUAAGAGUCUAUGAAUAAGUUGUAAAAAUACAUUCUAUUUGCGAAUCAUACGAAAUAAUAACAAAUGGAGAAGAAUCAAUGUCGCAGACUGCUUGAAAUUUACAAAAUUCUUUUGCCGAAGACAGAUAAAACUUUAAAAAAAACUAAACUCAUAUAACAUAAAGAGACAUAUGCCAAAGUUGCAAAGAUCCUUAUAUAUGUCUAAGAGACUUUAUUACUUCAGAACCAUUAAGGGAAAUCAAUUAUAAGAAAUCUUAAAUCAAAUAAUGGAUAAGAAGGAGCAGUCAUGCAAAGUCCAUUAUUAUAGAUAGGUUGAGUUCAGUCGAGUUGACAAUAAAAGCCGGAAAAAUUACAAUUAGCCCAUUGUUAGAGCAAAUAGGUGUGAAAAUUGAGACUAAUUAUCAACGCAAAUCUGGUGACGCUAGUACUCUUUUUGGUAAUACAGUAGUGUUGAUAGCAAUGAUGGCUGCAUGUUAUGAUUUUGAUGACGUUGAGCUAGGUAUGUAGGCAGAGAGAAACCUGAGAGCGGCCACGUCAUAGGGUUUACUUGGGACCGAUUUUCGCCAUCAAAGGCUGCGUUCAGAAACACCACCCGGGUACCCCAGCGUAUCAUUCUAUCCUUGUUGCUCAUCGUAUGUUAAACAAGGAUAAAAUAUACGCUGGUGCGUUCGGGUGACGUUUCUGAACGCAGCCAAAAGUGGAUGUAAGAACGGGGUGUUUACGUGUAGUAAUCAGAUUUGCAAUCGGAUUAAUCGCAGUCUAGAAAACCGACUUGGAGAAAAGUUCCCUAGAAUAAUCGGAUUUAUAAACAUGUCUAUGGAACAAUCAGAUUAUAUCAGAUUAAUACGGGAUUGUAGGAAAACGCGCAAAAAUUUCUCGUCGCAGAAUUUUGAGAAGUGAAUAGUAAGGAUUUUCUUUUAGUUUUUAUGUGCUUGAGAAGUGGAGUAUUUUGUGUAAGAAUGACCCUUUAGAUUAUGUUAAGUUAUAAUUAAAAUAUUUAAAUUGUGAUGCAAGUAAACGUUGAAUGAAAUAAGUGGCGAUAAGUUCAGUUUGGUGGGUAGUCUGAUACUAGUCAAUAAAGUCUCUACCUUUUCCAUUCUUUUAAUUGAUUUCAAUUAAUUCUUCAAUUGACGCUUAUACGUAUAUAAAAACUGCCUUUUAGUUAGUCAAUUCUGUUUACGCAGUUUACUCUCCACUUUGUUCUACCGUUGUUUCUAACUCGCAACUAAACAGGGUAGGUAAACACAAAACAACAGUUUAGUUUGGUGUCGUCGGUUGAGAAAGCGUGGUAAAGAAUACGCGUGAUGCGGAGAAUUUGUGUUUUAAAAUGAGAGUGCCAAUAUAUUCUUAUGGUAUACUUGGUAACAGAGAAGCUGCUAAUACAAAUGUAAUGAAAGUGUUUGACAAGAAUUUGAAAUAUUUGCGUAUGAAAGAUGGCAGAUAUGGUAGAAUAAAUAAGACUGAUGGUUAUAUCGUAUACAAGCAAAUCAGCCAAAUAAAGUAAAAGUAGCAACGCACUCGAAAUAACCGCCAUCUUUCCCUAACCCAAACAACACGUGUAUACCUACUUUCUAUCUUUUAGACGUGCGUGCUGUAUAGAUAAGGUAAACCCCACGAACAAUAAUAUAAAUAAUGUAAAUUAUACAAGAAAAUAAUCAAGAUUAUUUUCUCCAAAAUACAAUUAAACCAAUUAUGCCCACUUCUAAUUUUCAUAUCAUUAUUUUAUAUCACAUUACAUAUUCUUAUAAAUAUUGUAUUUAGAGAUAAAGCAAUUUUACAGAUAAUAUCAUUCAGGUAAAUCAAAUAAAUAAACCACUAAUGUUUUCCACAACUUAUUGUUCGGCAAACUCACCUACAGGUCAGUCGUAAUCUAUCCGUCAGAUACGAAUGUGCUCUAACACGCGUCCUAUCGUGGAAAUGUCCGACGACUUAUUAGUACUACACUUCAAUCCGAUAAUUUGCGAAAUCCACAUGUAAGUUACUAUAUAAUAAGUUUAAGUAGCACUAAGUAAGGCAUGUAACAGUGAAACUAAAACAUUCACCGUUUUAUCUCUCAAGGUUCAAAUACAUGUAAGCACAAAUCACUUGAGAAGGACCACAAUCCGGAUGGUCGAAACGUAGUGGAUAUAAUUCAAUAAAGUUUAUGCCAGUUGGGUCGACUAAAUCACUCAUUACUGCAAAUAAAUAAAGUAAACGUAGCAAUAAACUCAAAAUAACCUCCUUGCCAAUAAUGAGUUUAGCGUUUCGAGUAAUAAAAGACAUAGAUAGAACUCGUGCGGGGGUAUAGGAAACUUGGGUCAGAACUACGGAUUUCUAAAAUUUUUACUUUUCGGGACGUGGAAAUUUUCGACUCCUAUAUUAAAGUUGCUGCAUCGGGAUCUGUAAAGUUAACACGAUAUUCUUCGAAUUUCAAAAAGAUAUUAACAGUUCUAAUAGCACUUUCGAUAGUUCCAGAGUUCCUAAAAAAAUUAGAAAAAGUUCCGCAACCAUUAUAAUAAAAAAUCAAAAUUGAAAAAUGUGCAACUGUGAUUCAUGAAUGCUUCAACAGGAUUGGGGCUGCUGAAACAAGGAUUCAGGGACUUCAACAGGAAAAUUGAAAAAAUGUACUUCGCUUUUUUUUGGAUUUUCCCCGCUGCGGGAACGCCGUCAACCGGUAGGUUAUUUAGCGAUGUACUAACUUCGCGAAGCUAGCACGACACACUCUCCUCUAAAGUACAAAAACGCGUUGUAUAUUAUCAAUUUUGACAAGAGAUCCCGAUACUUCUAAUCGAGAUUCGUAUAUAUAUACAAUUUCAGAUAAAUGUUCCACCAAUUCCCAUUUUUUAACGCACUUCUUAACAUCAGACAUCAGCAGUCUAACGAUACUGCUCGACGGUUCUGCAGAGCUCUAUGAUUAGUAUUAGUUUUACAAAGAGCUUGUGAUUUCCUUUUUGGAUCUCACUAGCAUUAAGAGCGUGAGAUUACGCUAGAAAAUUACUGGAAAAUGAAGCAGCUAUUCACAUACUAGUGAAUAAUGCAGGUGUGGCUACAUAUCAGGACGAGUGUUAAAAGACAUCGAUAGAACUCGUGCGGAGGCACAGAAAACUCGUAUCAGCAAUAAACUCGAAAUAACCUCCACUUCUCCCUGAGGUAAAUUUCUACUAUGGUAGUUUAAACGUUGGUAAGACUUUUUCAUUAUAUGCAAACAUUAAUACUUGUGUUUUGUGUCACUUGCUGAAUAGCUUCUAUAAUCGGUAUAUUUAUUUUAUUUAUUAUUUACUGUUUUAUAAAAUAUCUCUUUCUCUCUCUUUAUUACAACUCAUAUAACAUUAAUGUACAUGUUGAAUAAACUGCUUUAUAUGAUAUAUGUUAUUAAUAUAAGUUUUAAUAAAAAAUUGAUGUAAAAUUUAAUAAUAAAUUAUUACACUGGUCCCUAGAAGCCCCCCCACGUUGCCUGGUAUGCACGAGUCUUUCAUGGUAGUCACGUGAUCGCUAUGCGCAUGGCAGAAAGGCUCGCGCUACUGGCGCUACUGCGCGUGCGCCAGAAAUCCUGCAAUCUCAUCACUGAUCCCGAAUCGGAACACUGUGAAAUUUUGACCAUGGGUCGUUGGAUGUCGCAUAUUUUAAACUUCUUGGUGACAAAUAUUCAAAAAGUAGUUAGCAGAUUACAAUUCUAUUUAUGGUUUCGUAUAACAACGUUUUUCGAGACAGCAACGACCACAUGCAUGGUGACGGUGACGGCAGAGCUAGGACGGAGGAGUCGUCAUCGUCCGUAUCGUCGUCGACGACAUCAGAAUAUUGAGAAUCCCGUAAAAGAAGCAAGAUGGUACCGUGCUGGGCGCGGGCGCAAGGAAGGGUGGAACAGCCGCCCCUACGCUAUGAAAUACGGAAACAUUUACUUUUAUUAAAUAUUAAUUACUUUACUUAUUAUAUAAUGUCUACAUUAUCGUGUAUAUAUCUUUUAUUAUAUAUAUAUACUUUACAAAAUUAUGUCUCUUACGUUAUUCAAAUGUCUCUCUCACGUUAAAUGUCUCUCACAUUUAAAAAAAAGAGAUAGAAAAAUUAUAAAUCUCUGAAUCGUCUUUCAGUAGUGUUAACGUAACUAGUUGACAUCGACUAUCUUACCUAUCUAACUCGAAUCGAAGUUCUAGUAUGUGUAAUAUUUGAAAUAAUGUAAAUAAAUUAUGCAAAAGAGUCAACAAAUGAGUGGGUUCAAUUUGAACAACGUUCAAACUUUUGUUUAGAAAUUCGCGUAUAACAUGUACUUAUUCAGUUUAGCGUUUCGAGUGAUAAAAAAAGACAUUCAUAGAACUCGUGCGGGGGCACAGAAAACUCGCGUUAGAAUUGCGGAUUUCGAAAAUUUUCACGUUUCGUAUACAAACUAAACUUAGACGCAGUUGUAUUUGACAAUAAAAAGAAUCGUGUUCGAACUUUUGUUUAGAAAUUCGGGCGUAACAUGUAUUUAGUUUAGCGUUUCGACUGAUAAAAGACAUUCAUAGAACUCGUGCGGGGACACAGAAAACUCGUAUCAGCAAUAAACUCGAAAUAACCUCCACCUCUCCCUGAGGUAAAACCUGAUAAAAGACGUCGUCAGAAUUAAUGCCAGGGAACAGAAAACUCGCGUUAGAAUUGCGGAUUUCAAAAAUUUUCACGUUUCGUAUACAAACUAAACUUAAACGCAGUUGUAUUUGACAAUAAUAAAAAGAAUCGUGUUCGAACUUUUGUUUAGAAAUUCGGGCAUAACAUGUAUUUAUAGCGUUUUCGAUUUUCUGACUUCUGACAAGAUUUGAACCAAAUUUCUGCAAAAAUCUUACUUUUGAUCAAACUUUUCUGACUCGGAGUCGGGUCGAGUCAGCAAAUCAAAAACGCUAUUAGUUUAGCGUUUCGACUGAUAAAAGACAUUCAUAGAACUCGUGCGGGGGCACAGAAAACUCGUAUCAGCAAUAAACUCGAAAUAACCUCCACCUCCCCCUGAGGUAAAUCCUGAUAAAAGACAUCGUCAGAAUAAAUGCGAGGGAAUAGAAAACUCGCGUUAGAAUUGCGGAUUUCCAAAAUUUUCACGUUUCGUAUACAAACUAAACUUAAACGCAGUUGUAUUUGACAAU